GUGAGUAAUGCUUAGGAAUCUGCCCAGUAGUGGGGGAUAGCCCGGGGAAACCCGGAUUAAUACCGCAUACGUCCUACGGGAGAAAGCAGGGGAUCUUCGGACCUUGCGCUAUUGGAUGAGCCUAAGUCGGAUUAGCUAGUUGGUGGGGUAAAGGCCUACCAAGGCGACGAUCCGUAGCUGGUCUGAGAGGAUGAUCAGCCACAUCGGGACUGAGACACGGCCCGAACUCCUACGGGAGGCAGCAGUGGGGAAUAUUGGACAAUGGGGGCAACCCUGAUCCAGCCAUGCCGCGUGUGUGAAGAAGGCUUUCGGGUUGUAAAGCACUUUCAGUAGGGAGGAAAACCUUAUGGCUAAUACCCAUGAGGCUUGACGUUACCUACAGAAGAAGCACCGGCUAACUCCGUGCCAGCAGCCGCGGUAAUACGGAGGGUGCAAGCGUUAAUCGGAAUUACUGGGCGUAAAGCGCGCGUAGGUGGUUUGGUAAGCGAGAUGUGAAAGCCCCGGGCUUAACCUGGGAACGGCAUUUCGAACUGUCAGACUAGAGUGUGGUAAA
Molecule: ribosomal RNA, 553 nt
Filed under: Marinobacter nauticus
Lineage: Bacteria; Pseudomonadati; Pseudomonadota; Gammaproteobacteria; Pseudomonadales; Marinobacteraceae
Description: bacterial SSU rRNA
Rfam family: Bacterial small subunit ribosomal RNA
Source: RNAcentral